This is a non-coding RNA of Paramuricea clavata, 737 nucleotides long. The record is from the annotation of a GenBank genome assembly. Lineage: Eukaryota; Metazoa; Cnidaria; Anthozoa; Malacalcyonacea; Plexauridae.
UGUUUCAAGAUCGCGUUCAGACAAAAAAGAAUCAACAAUCAAGCACCUUAUAACAAUCUUAAACCUUACCCUGAACCUAACCCUAACAUUAAAGCCCCUUACAGACAAAUAAUUUUUCCUUGACAAAUUUUGUUUGCUUGUGUGUAAGGCAAAAAAUUGACAACUUUUCCUUGCCAAGGCAAGGAGCCUUGUUCCAAAACUAGUCAUACCAGUAUUUGGACAAGGAAAAUUUGUUCGUGUGACGGCUGCCAAGGAAAACUUGAAAGUGUACAAGAAAUAUUUAUCUGGUUUUGGCAAACAAAAAGCGGCCUUGGAGUGAGAUAAAUGUUUGACAACAUUCCGUGCACACAGAAGCAACAAGACUUGUCAAGAGAAACUGUCAAGGAAAACUUUGUUGACCGUGACACGAGAAGGUACCCCGGUUUCGGUGUACGGGUACGAGUAGUGUCAUCUUGUUUACUAGUUUUUACUGAUGUCUGUAAUUCGAUCAUACUUUUUCAGUUGUCUUGCAAUAGACAAUGAUAUAAUGCGAAAAAUGUGCACCUUAAUUACGAGUAAAGGUACAGACAUCGACGAAAAUAUUGCUAACCAAAAUCGUGCUACCCGUACACCGAAACCGGGGGUAUCUUAAACUCACUAUCAAGAAAAACUUGCCCGUUUGGGAUGAACCCUAAAUUUAAAGCGAACUCUGAGUUUAAUUUUGAACCAUAUCUUUAUAUCCUUUUUGCCACCAGGGG